UCCGCCACCGCAACUUUCCGCAGCCUCUGCGCGCCAGCGGCGGCCCCCUUUGUUUAAGUUCUCGGAUGCCAUCAUCUGGGAAACCUGCAACCCGGGACCAGCGCGGUGCCCGCGCGUGCGAGACGGACCGCUCGCUGCCGCGGCUGCGCUCGCCCCCACCCCCCUCUGCUUCGCUCCCUCCCUCUCCUUCUCUCCCCUCCCUCCCGCCUCCCUCCUCGGGGAUUCAGGCAAGUAGCGUGUGUGCCCUUGUGAGUUUGGAGGGUGCCGGUCAGCGGAGCCAUGCGAUGUAUUUGAAAAGCAAUCAGGCCGACCUUUCCCCAUAGAUGUAAUUAAUUCCAUUCAGAGAGAAAUACUGAAGAAUUAGAUCAUAAAUGAAAACAACAAAGACAACAACAAUAUGCAAUAAAAUGGAUUUCUGCUGACUUAGGGAAGUCAGAGUGAUCGGCUCCCCGCUGCUUCACAUGCUCUUGAUCCACAUGCUUCCUGAUUAUCACGUUAAAAAUUCCUCGUCAACCCUGGGCUGAAGCCUGUGUACAUGAGAAGAAUUCACAAUGAUCUCUGAAGUGGCCUGCUACCACUUACUGAGGACCUCAACCCCCAGCAGGCGGAAGGCAAGUGCCUGUAUCUGCAAACAUGCAGAUAGCUUUUCUAA
This is a long non-coding RNA of Pteropus alecto (black flying fox), 652 nucleotides long. RefSeq lists it as uncharacterized. The transcript has 4 exons. NCBI's taxonomy places the organism in Eukaryota, Metazoa, Chordata, Mammalia, Chiroptera, Pteropodidae. The record is from RefSeq and is a predicted model, not a curated record.